AGAGUUUGAUCCUGGCUCAGAUUGAACGCUGGCGGCAUGCCUUACACAUGCAAGUCGAACGGCAGCGGACCUUCGGGUGCCGGCGAGUGGCGAACGGGUGAGUAAAGUAUCGGAACGUACCUUUCAGUGGGGGAUAACGUAGCGAAAGUUACGCUAAUACCGCAUAUUCUGUGAGCAGGAAAGCAGGGGAUCGCAAGACCUUGCGCUGAUUGAGCGGCCGAUAUCAGAUUAGCUAGUUGGUGGGGUAAAGGCCUACCAAGGCGACGAUCUGUAGCGGGUCUGAGAGGAUGAUCCGCCACACUGGGACUGAGACACGGCCCAGACUCCUACGGGAGGCAGCAGUGGGGAAUUUUGGACAAUGGGCGCAAGCCUGAUCCAGCCAUGCCGCGUGAGUGAAGAAGGCCUUCGGGUUGUAAAGCUUUUUCGGCCGGGAAGAAAUCGCAUGGGCUAAUACCCUGUGUGGAUGACGGUACCGGAAUAAGAAGCACCGGCUAACUACGUGCCAGCAGCCGCGGUAAUACGUAGGGUGCGAGCGUUAAUCGGAAUUACUGGGCGUAAAGCGUGCGCAGGCGGUUUUUUAGGAUAGGCGUGAAAUCCCCGGGCUCAACCUGGGAACCGCGCUUAUGACUGGAAGACUAGAGUAUGGCAGAGGGGGGUGGAAUUCCACGUGUAGCAGUGAAAUGCGUAGAGAUGUGGAGGAACACCGAUGGCGAAGGCAGCCCCCUGGGCCAAUACUGACGCUCACGCACGAAAGCGUGGGGGAGCAAACAGGAUUAGAUACCCUGGUAGUCCACGCCCUAA
This 801-nucleotide ribosomal RNA is filed under the name uncultured Rhodocyclaceae bacterium. RNAcentral describes it as "bacterial SSU rRNA". It matches the Rfam family "Bacterial small subunit ribosomal RNA", at positions 8 to 805 of the family's 1533-position model. The record is from RNAcentral. Lineage: Bacteria; Pseudomonadati; Pseudomonadota; Betaproteobacteria; Rhodocyclales; Rhodocyclaceae.